CGGACACUUAAGAAGCUUAAGUCAAAAAUCAAGCGUUGCAGGAUUAGUGUUAGUGUUUUUCGUAACUGUUGAGUGACAGAGUUACAUCGUUGUUGUCUUCUACUGAUUUAGGCUGCAGCUUCAAGCUGAUAGGUCGACGUCAGGUGAAUGAAUUUAUGCAGCCAAUGACUGGUCUUCUGUUCACCUGCACAUACGCACUCACGGGGACGCAGCUGGACAGGAACACACGCAGGAUUCGCCGUAAUGGCUCUGCAAAUCGCACUCGGCCGAUCACAUUGCCCUUCUGACUAGUUUUCCAAUGAGUUCACGGUUCACACCAAGGCGAAUGAGCUCUGGCGUUUGCCGAGCCCGCCGUUACACAAGAGCAGAGGACCCCAGAGCCCAUUUGAAAAGCUCAGGACGCAAACCACCUGUCUGGGCUUUCACCUGUGUUCUUGUCUCAGUUUUGCCUUUUCCACUCUGAACUGUUAUGGUUACCCUUUGGGGAAGGCAAGCUGAUCCAGGGCUUGCUUCUAGAUGGCCUCCCCACCCUGCUGAAGCUGCUGCUGGCCACACUUCUCACACGCGGUCCAGGACAUUGUGGCUUUGCUGCUUUGGUGUUCAAGGACGCGUGGAAACGGUGUCAUGUAGGUGGGCCUGUACAUCCUGGCUGUCUGUGUUUACAUUUGAAUGUUUAGGAAUUCGCCCGUACCGAAAAAGAAAUGAAUAUAUUGAAAUGUAAGGAUUAUGCUGAAAAUUCGCCUGACACUUUAAAUAUAGCCUUUGCUUGGUAAUGAUUUGUAUAACUUCCUUAUUUUGUCCUCAGGCUUUUGGGUACGCAUUUGGGUUGGAAACAAGGUUGGUGGACAUAAUACAGGGAUUAUUUAAAAAUGUAAAUAAAUCCAAGUAGAUUAUGGGUAGAAUUGACUUCUUAAACAUUUGUGGAACCUGCAUUGCCUCCAUUUUGUUGCAUCAUAAAAAUGAAAUAAUUUGCGUGUUUUCAUAUUUACUUGCUUACAGUUAGAAUUGGGGAAAACUAUUUAUGUAUAAUUUCAUCUUUACUUAAAAUUUAAAUGUACUGCAUUUCCUUUCGGUAUAGGUUGAUAGAGAAGUUAGAGUCUAAAUGAAGACGUUUUUCAGCUGGGGCAUGUUCAGGAUGGAGAUAUAUUGUAGUUUUCAAAUGUAUUGCGUGGAACAGAUUACUGCCAUCUGUAGAGGAGUUUGUGAGUUUAUGUUUGUCAUCGGUUGUGUCUGCUCAAUGUUUGUGUUUUUUCAUUGAAAUAUAAUUCAACACCAAGAUUACUAAUACUUUUACAUGUUUUUUAUGUGGUUGCUUUCAUACCCCACAAAUGGAUACAUUGUUACUUUUAUUGUUGAAAUGUGUGAUAUGGAAUGUUUGCAGUGAUUUUCUUUUUAAUUUUUUUCUUCAAAAUGGCUGCCUUUAAGGACAGCUUGACUAGAAACACACACUAUGGGUUUGAAUGAGGUCACUCAGCGGUGUGCCUCCCUUUACAUGCAAUUAUAAUGAAAGAUAAAUGAUGUCAGUAAGCUAGCACCAAGGCCCAGGUCAAUUCUAUCUCAUUUCGGUCAACGCAGGAAAUUACUUCCUGUACUGGUUCUUUCAAUGUAUAAAUAGAAUUUCACUGUGUGUACUUUGUUGUUUGAGUGCAAAUGGAAUUGACCCCGCCCCUUGUCGGUUAGCCAAUCACAGCUGCCAAUUGGCCUCCGAGGAUUGUAAUGAAACAAUCAGGUGUGAGAUGCAGGUUGUCGGAUGUGUAUGAUGCCCAUCCACUUGCCCAAUGAACAAAGGUGCUAACUCAAGCCCAUCCUAAGAUGCCCACCUAAUGUCUGCACGGUAUGAUUGUAUAUGGCGUAACUGACAUGAGGCUUCAGUUUUCACUUUUGAUCAGGAAAUGUACGUCAGUUGUGUGAGCUGCCAUUCUGUUUCUCUAUUGGUCUGUGGCGCUGAACGAUGAGCUCGAGAACCACGGAGAUCAGACAAGCCUAGUCGAUACCAAACUCCUUCUCUUCUACAUACUAUUGGUCUGAUCACAUAGGUUCAACAUUUUUUUUUUUAUCACUAGGACAUAAGGAACGGCCACAAUGUUGUAGUGGAAUACCUUAACCGCACACAACCCCUGCGGUUUAUGAGUUGGAAUGGAUUGGUUUAGCUUCUCGCUUCAAGAUUUAUAAGUUUUAUAAGCAGAAAGGAAAUUGCACAAUCCAACUCGGUUGAUUUGCUUCAAUCAAGUGGGAUCAUGAAACAUUGCUUCUGAAAUUCUGAAAAAACAAGCACCAUUGAGAAUUGUUGAAUUGUUGACGCUUGCACUAUUUGCACCAAAAAAAAAUGCCCUUAAAAUGCCAACCAAUGAUACAAAGGCCAGACGGGUAACAUGGCCGUUACUUGAUGUCAACUUGGGUUGCAAAAUUCCGCUGUAAGAAAUCCACAUCGGGGGAUUCCCGUGGCUUACUCCCAUCCGAUACCAGGAAUUCUGAAAAAACGUGCUUUAUCGUUUAGUUUUUUGUGGAAUUUUACAUCCCCAAUGUCAAUGUAGAAGAGGCCUUUCGAAAGCCUCUAGUUACAAUCUGUAGUUAGGCCUCUUGUUCUGAUGGGUUUAAUCCCAGGAUAUGGACAGCUAGUUAAAGACCUCCCCACCCCCCGGAGGUCUACCCUGGAUCACAGGCCACCAGUCGCUUAACUACUGUGAGCGUCGUUUCAGGUCGCAUUCAGUUCCAGAGCUCUGAAAGUGCCCACAUGUUACAAUUUGUGCCAUUUUUAUUUCCUUUGCCAGGCUCUUGGUCGGGCUUGCUGUGUGUGGGGAGGUUUUACUUUUUGGAGCGAUGAAGGAUUGCUGUUUCUUUACACCUUCAUUUCAUUCUGUGGCUCUGAAUGUCUGACCAUAUAUCAUCACCUGUCUGCAAUGACAUUGUGUCAACGCCCAGAGCCACUGACUUAAGGCUUAACUCUAGAAAGUGCCUGACGUGUUGAUUAUGUGUAAAAUAGGUUAACUGCCUCUCUCGCCCGUGGGAGCAUGGCACAGGAGUAAUGAUGGUUGGUGAACUAGAAUCAACCUACAGACUGACAUCUGUCUCCACCAUCCCUUCUCCUCACUUUUUCUGAGCCGUCAUAUAUAACUUCAAAGACAAAGUGUGUCUGUAAACAGCCCUUAUGCUGGAACUGCCACUUUGAGCAGGACCUUUUUUUUGUUUUGUUUUCCCCACUGGCCUGAUUUAAUUUCAUGCUGUAAUGCAGGGUUCCAUUCCAGUUUCACUCCACUCCAUUCCAUUGUUUUUAGCAGCUGUGUCUUGACACCUCAUCUUCAUUCCACUGAAGUGCUGGACUAUUCCUUCAUUGUGGUCCCUUGUUGGGUCCGCUGGUCUAACGCUUACCCAGCAUAGUGGGUAAAAUAUGGUGGGAGGAUGUGUUGCCCUGGCUAACCCCACCUACAUUGCCCUGGCUAAACCCCACCCACCCCCCUCCCACAGUCACAGUUAUGUUGUUUCCUGAUAAUUUCUGAGGACCGCUAGGUUGGCCUCAGCCUUUAAGCCUGAUUGGCUGCUGAGAGAAAUAUGACAUAAUGCCCAAGUAGAGCAUUCGUAAUGUCCCUGAUGGAGUGACAUAGCAAGGAUGGAGGAGUGGGGUUUCUUAGGGGUUUACCAGUCUAUCUAGGUCUCUCCCACCACUAAGCCUGUCUCUCUCCUCCUCCUAUUCUGCUGUUCCUUGGAGACCCUCUAAGAUGUCUCUUGUCCUUUAACUCCUGUUCUUACCCUUUUCCUCUCUUUUGCCGUCAUCUCGUGUCCCAGGGCUGGAAUGGUCUCCCCUAUAACCGCUCUCUGCCCCACUCCCUUCUGUACAUAAUGUAAGGUUAUUUAUAUUUCAUUCCUGUCUACUGCCUUGGUUUUUAUUUUAUUUUCUUGUCUUUUUUUUAUGUAGAUUAAGUUGUACUGGGACCAUUUUGAGAAGUAUUAGAUGUUUUUGUGGCUAUUUUCAAUUUGGUAUUAUUGUCUUAAGAAUAUUAUUUUAAAUUUUCAUCAAUUCAAGUGUUUUGUUAUUCAAAUAAUUUGAAUAUAUGUGUAUAUAUAAUUAUAUAUGAUAAAAUUAUAUAUAAUUAUAUAAUGCCAAAUGGCCUUUCUAAGCAAGAUACUGUUCAAACCUAAUAAAGUGCUUGAGAUUUUCUUAUCUGUGUGUUACUUGUAUAAUACAUACAGCAUUAUCCCAUGCAAUAUAAAACAGUUACUGCUCUUUAGUGGACAUUAAUACAGUUUCAGCACUAUGUACACUGCCUUCGGAAAGUAUUCAGACGCCUUCACUUUCUCGACAUUUUGUGGUAAUGACCAAAUUUUUGGUAGAUUUCAUUAUUAUAAUUUGUUUUAUCUACCUACACAAAAUAUCCUAUAAUGAUAAAGUUAAAUGUUUUGAUUUUAUUUGUGC
Molecule: long non-coding RNA, 4411 nt
Organism: Esox lucius (northern pike)
Lineage: Eukaryota; Metazoa; Chordata; Actinopteri; Esociformes; Esocidae
Source: Ensembl